GGCACUGGGCAGAGAGUAGCAUGUGCCACCAUUUAUUGUGGCUGAGGAUGAUGGGAGUUGUAGUUCAACAGCAACCGGAGAGCCAAGGGUGCCUACCCCUAUACGAGGGGCUGGAUGGAAAACCUUCCCCCAGGGCUAACCAUCGGCUGGAAAGACGCCUCAUUCUGUGCCACUAUAUAUACUCUGCACUAGGUGCUGUUCAAACAAUUUAUGGUCAUGCAAAUUUAUUUAUUUAUUUUAUAUUUUAUUUUAUCGUUGAAUUUAUAGACCGCCUUUCAUUAAAAACAAUCUCAAGGUGGUAUACGAAAGUUAAAAUGGCCGCCACAGGCACGCAGAGGGCCGAAAAGGUCCUGAAACAGGCCGAACCAACCCUUGGAGACAUGGGGGAAGCCUGGCAGGGGGAGGAGGAGCUGCUGGAGACCCCCCCUCCCGUGGCCACUGCAGCCUUGCAGAGGCCACCACAGCUGCCGGAGACCUCAGCAGCUGCAGCAGGCAAAGAGGACGGCAAUCCAUGGCACAGCGCCUUAGCGUUCAUGUGUCUGCGUUUGAAGGCAUGUGCGCUCAGGACAGGAAAUGUCCACUGCACCUCAAUUGGAAAUUUAAUUUCUGGAGACCCCAGGGAGGGAACGGAACCCUGAUGAAGGACAACUCUCCAUAUUGUAACACGGCAUCCGCCAAAGAGCUCUGCCCAAAUCCAGGAACUUCUGAGCGACAACCAAGACACCUGAGCUUUGAAACUUAAGAAGUUUCCCACCCUUGUGCUAGAUAGCACACACAGUUAUAUACGGCUCUUGGGAAGGCAGGCAUGAUGGACAGAAGGAGGAGAGCUGGUCUUGCUAACUGAGGAAAGAGACACCUUUUAAAGUGGCGAUUCUCUUAUAUUUAGCAGGGGGAGAGCAGCUGGCCCUAUCCAACCCCAGCAUAGCAUCCCUCCAGUGGCUGCUUCUGGUAUCUGCCUUGUGUUUCUUUUUAGAUUGCGAGCCCUUUGGGGACAGGGAACCAUCUUAUUUAUGUAUUAUUUAUUUUUCCAUGUAAACUGCUUUGAUAAUUUUGUUGGAGAGCAGUAUAUAAAUAGUACUAGUCGUCGUAGUAGCAGCAAACACAAUUGUCCCCUUUGCAAAGCAGGGUCUGCCCUGGUUUGCCUUUGAAUGGGAGACUACACGUGUGAGCACUAUAAGAUAUUCCCCUCAGGGGAUGGGGCCACUCUGGGAAGAGCAUCUAGGUUCCCAGUUUCCUCCCUGGCAGCAUCUCCAAGACAGUGCUGAGAGAGAUUUCUGCCUGCAACCCUGGAGAAGCUGCUGCCAGCCUGUGUAGACAGUACUGAGCUAGAUAGACCAAGGGUCUGACUCGGUAUACGGCAGCUCCCUAUGUUUCUAGGUUUGUUCAUCCAUAUUUUUUAAUUUGUUUGUUUGUUAUUUCUCGAUGUAAACCACUUUGGAAACGUUUGUUGAAAAGCAGUACAUAAAGAUUUGUUUUGU
Molecule: long non-coding RNA, 1478 nt
Organism: Hemicordylus capensis (graceful crag lizard)
Lineage: Eukaryota; Metazoa; Chordata; Lepidosauria; Squamata; Cordylidae
Exons: 3
Source: RefSeq, a predicted model, not a curated record